AUGGUGGCAAAUGGGACUAGAUUAAUUUAGGAUAUCUGCUUGGCAUGGAUGAAUUGGACCGAAGGGUCUGUUUCCAUGCUGUGCAACUCUGACCCUAUCUCCAAGAGUGGUCAAGGUGAUGACCAGAGGUUGAGGUAGGAUUCGCAUUUCAUUAUUGGAAAUAUGAGAGUCAGCCCAGGGUGCUCAGCUGCUACUUAUUAUUACUAAGUGCAACUUUAACAACAUUUCCACCCCCAGGGCUUAUUCACUGAGUAUCGUGCGUGAAUAGAUGGACGAUUUUCAGUACAGUCUGCUGACUCGGCUAUACUGCAAACUGCAAGAGCAACACUAAUCUAACGCUGAAGGUUGUAUUACUACCUUGCAAUGCACAAUUGAAGCCAGCUAUUAUUUAUAAGCUCCGAGUACCCCCCUCAUGGGAUGGUCCAGGAGUGUGCUGUCUGUUGACCCUCAUGUUCCAGCUGCAGCCUUUAAAUGGGAGCAUCUGUCAAGGUGGUGCAGCAGACCUACUGAAACAAUGGACCAUGUGAGUGAGUUGAUGCAAAAAUCAUAGAAUCCCAUAAAUUUACAGCAGGCCAUUUGGCCCUCCUGUCUGUGUUGGCUGGCAAGGUACCAUCCAGCCUAAUCCCAUAAUCCAGGACUUGGUCCCAACCAGCAUUUGGUUGCUGUCCUUAUUGCUCUUGAACUGAGUGGCUUGCCAGGCCACUUCAGAGGGCAGUUCCAUAUUGCUGUUGGUGUGGGGGCAAAUGUAAGUAAGGAUAACUGAAGUCUAUCUAGAUUGUCAAAGGACGUUCAUGAACCAUUAAAACAAUUGUUACGAUCAUCAUUAGACUCGCUUUUAAUUCAAGUCCUACCAUCUGCCAUGGUGAGAUUCAAACACGUUUCUCCAGGACAUUAGUUUGGGAUUCUGGAUUACUAUUCUAACAACAGUAACACAACGCCAAGCCUCUCCCUGCGUUUGAUUUGUUCAAGUGCAUAUCCAAGUUUUGAGAAAGGAUCACUGGACCCAAAAUGUUAACUCAGCCGGUCUGGCAGUAUCUCUAGAGAGAAAGCAGAGUUUUUUCCAGCAAUUUCUGUUUUCAUUUCCAUGUUUUUUUUUCCUAAGAGUUUUGAGGGUUUCUACCUCUGACACACUUUUUUCAGGCAGUGAGUUCCAGGUGUCCCGUUCUUUGGGGAAACAACUGUAUCCUUUGAAUUCUCCUCCAGAUGUCCUAAAUCCAUAGACCUUGGUUAUGGAGCACUCAACUAAGGGAAUUAGGGCCUUUCUAUACUCUUUAUAUAGACCCCUCAUAAACUUUUAUGUUUCAGUGAGAUUUCCCCGCAGACUUUUUUCCAUUCACUCGUGGGACAUCAGGUGGCACUGGCUGGACCAGCACUUAUAACCUGCUGCUGUUCCAAAGAAAACAGUCCUGGUGUAUCCAGUGUUUCAUUCUUCUCUUCUCCAGACAGCAUCCUCGUUUUCUUUCUUGUAAAGAAAGAAGUAUCCCUAUAAGAGGAAUUCUGGUCAGUGUGUGAACAUCUCUGUUGGUCUUUCAUGGGUAGAUGGAUGAAACAGCUAGAAUGGAAUCUUCAACUUUAUGGAGUUGUACCUUCUUUUGCCAGGCUGUGUGUGAGAGAGAGAAGGAGCAUCAGGAGAGACUUAUCUCCACAUACAUUCAGUCUUUGACUGACAAGCUGAACAGUGAACAGAGUGAAAUCUGACCUGACAUUCCAAUGCAUUAGUGAGGGUGUGUUGCACUGUCAGAGGUGCCAGCUUUCAGAAGAGACCUUCAACCAAGGCGCCACCUGCCUACUCCAGUGGGUUUGAGAGAUCCUGUGACACUAUUCUGAAGAAAAGCAAGAAGAAAAGUCAACAACCUGAAACAUUAACUCAUUCCUCUUUCCCCAGAUGCUGCCAGACCUGCUCUGUACUUCCAAUGUUCUGUGUUUUAUAACAAGGAGGUCUCUCUUGUCAAUAUUUGUGUUUUGAUCAAUGUUAGAGAUUAGGUGAUUUAUUUAUCGCAUUACUGUUUACAGAAGUUUGCUACAUGCACAUUGUCGUGUAGGAAAGAGAAGCCAAUAUGACAACACUUCAGAAGUACACUCACUGUAAAGCGAGUACUUUCUGAUAAUCUGCAGUCAACAGGUGCUGUAUAAGCGUAAAUUUUGGUAGGGGAGAUGUUGCUGACUUCUAGUUUCUAGAUUAGGCUGUGGAAAUGUUCUUGCUGGAGUGCUGUGUGGCUGAAGAACAGCAUGUUCACCAAAUCCAUGUCUUUGUAAAAUACCAUACUUUGCAGCACAGCAAACAAAUUGGAGAAUUAUGCGAUGGAAAAAACUGGCAACUUGCAACAAUGAAAUGUCUUAGGGAUCUAUGGAGUGGAGGUACAUUCCUCUGACCCUCUGCAUUGCCAGGAAAAUUAAGAUUUUAAUAUUUGUUCUCUCAUUUUGCUGCAUUUUUGUGAACCAACUUUUAUGCAUAUAUAGGCCAAUCUUAUUUUUAAAAAGCAAACAGAUACUGGCUUUUACCAUAAAACUGUAAAAGAGGGAAUUGCCAAUGCAAUGCUAAAUCUAGAAAUACACCAGCUGAAUUACGAAGCAUUAGUCUUAGAUUGUCCUGUCCUCCUGGAGAGAGUUUGGAGGUAAAGAGAGAAGGUGCAGCACAGACUCCCUGGGAAUACUGCUUUAAUUUGAGGAAAUAUGGGAAGGAACAUGGAGCUAAUUUUAUUAUAACAGAGGAGACUACUGGAUGAUUUGAGAGAGAAGUUUGAAAAUAAGAAGGCAUCAGACGUGGUUGCGCUGGCUGGGGACAUAAAAUGGACAUUAAAAGGUUGAAUUUAAAAGAAUUGAGGCGAGAACCAGAGGAAACCAUUUUGUGUAGACCCAUCACGAAUAAAUUAUGAAAGUAUGAUAGGGACAUGGGCUUAGAAUCCAUGAGGAUAAAUGCAACAAACUGAUUAUACAGGAUGACUGGUUUCUAUUUUACGAUUCUUGCAGGAUUUUGAGUCAAUAUGCAGCAACAAGGUAUUGCUAACAUCUUAAUUCAUGUUAUCCAACAUUGUAUUCUGAUCUCAUUAAAUUGACCAGUUUAUUUCUAAAUUGGAUUGUUAUUGUACUAUGAAAAGGAUUAGUAUUCAAACUAUACAUAGAUAUGCAAUUCUUAUAUUUUGACUUGCCAACAAAAAAAAAGAAAAAUCAUUUUCCCUGUCUUGGAUUAAAAUACUUUCAUGCUAAUAAGCUUUUUAAAAAUUACAGUGUAAACUUCUGUGACUAAAAGAGUUUUGUUUGCUCGUUAACAAAGUUGUGAAAUGAGAAAAGCCUUCAGUGUUUGAUAAUUGGCUUGAUCUCACUUCAAAUUGCUUCUUGGGUGCUAUCACCCCCAUUCUCAACCCCAUUCUCCCACUUUCUCCCCGUAACUCUUGAUCCUCUUGACAAUCAAAAACCUAUCUAUCUCUGUCUUAAAUAUACUCAACGACCUGGUCUCCACAUCCUUCUGUGGCAGUGAAUUCUGGCUGAAGAAGUUUCUCCUUAUCUCCAUUCUAAGAAGUCUUCCCUUUACUCUAAGGCUGUGCCCUCAGGUCCUAGUCUCUCCUACCAAUGGAAACAUCUUCCCAACAUCCACUCUGUCCAGGCCAUUCGGUAUCCUGUAAGUUUCAAUUAGAUCCCCCUCCCCGUCAUCCUUCUAAACUACAUCAAGCAUAGACCCAGAGUCCUUGAACGUUUCUCAUGUUAAGCUUUUCAUUCCUGGGACCAUUCUCGUGAACCUGCCCCAGGGCCAGUACAUCUUUCCUGAGAUAUGGGGCCCAAAACUGUGCACAAUACUCCAAAUAUAGCUUGAGCAGAGCCUUAUAGAGUCCCAGAAGUACAUCUCUGCUUUUAUAUUCAAGUCCUCUGAAAACAAAUGCCAAAGUUGCAUUUGCCUUCCAAGCUACUGACUCAAUCUGCAGGUUUACAUUGAGAGCAUCCUGGACUAGAACUCCCAAGUCUCUUUGCACUUCAGACUUCUGAAUUUUCUCUCCAUUUACAAAAUAGUCUAUGCUUCUAUUCUUCUUACCAAAGUGCAUGGACUCCCGCUUUCCCACGUUGUACUCCAUCUGCCACUUCUUUGCCCACUUUCCUAACCUGUCCAAAUCCUUCUGCAGCCUCCCUGCUCCCUCAAUACCACCUGUCCCUUUACCUUUUUUUUUCUUUAUUCAUUCAUGGGAUGAGGGCGUCGCUGGCUAGGCAGCAUUUAUUGCCCAUCCCUAAUUGCCCAGAGGGCAGUUAAGAGUCAACCACAUUGCUGUAGGUUCGGAGUCACAUGUAGGCCAGACCAGGUAAGGAUGGCAGUUUCCCUCCCUAAAGGACAUUAGUGAACCAGAUGGGUUUUUCUGACAAUCGACAAUGGAUUCAUGGUCGUCAUAGAUUGUUAAUUCCAGAUAUUUUAUUAAAUUCAAAUUCCACCAUCUGCCCCAGGACAUUACCUGGGUCACUGGAUGAACAGUCCAGCGAUAAUAUCACUAGGCUAUCGCCUCCCCUUAUCUUUGUAUCAUCUGCAAACUUAGCAAGAAUGUCCUCAGUUCCUUCAUCUAUAUCAUUAAUUUAUAAAAUGAAAAGUUGCAGACCCAACACUGACCCUUGUGGAACACCACUUGUCACCGGCUGCCAUCCUGAGAAAGACCCCUUUAUCCCCACUCUCUGCUUUCUGCUAAACAGGCAAUCUUCUAUCCAUGCUAGUACCUUGCCUCUAACGCCAUGGGCCCUUAUCUUACUCAGUAUAUUUAACAUUGUAUUAAAUGAAAAAUCUACGCUUUACAGGUAUUUACUGUCAUGACUUGCGUCUUAAGAGAGGAGCUGCUUUCUUCAAAAUUCCCAUUUGUUUUGCACAUCAAUGAUACAUUGUAAUCAGAAUGGGAUAUGGUGUCAGACAGACACGAAUAAAGAUAUUUGUGAUCAUUAAAUAGCUGAAUGAUCUUGGCUAAAAGUAAAACUUUGAAUUGCUGUGCAUGUCAUUAAAUAUUUAUGCUCAAGUGUUGCAAAAUGGACAAAAUAAAGUGUGGCAUCUGUAAUCUGGGAAGUUGUGGCUUGUCUUCAGUCAAGGGCAGUGCUUUUAAAAUUACAAAAGCAAAAUCCUAAAGAUGCCAAAUGAUUUUUAAUUGAACAGUAGAUAAUCUGUCAUGAUGCUUUGCUAGUAGAAAUUGGACUGCAUGGCAGUUGAUUACAAUCAAGGUUCUCUGGAAAGCUCUGCAAUAAUUAUUUAAGUGGUCUACAUUGUAAUUUUAAGGUUUGAAAAUUGUAUCAGAUUUUUUUGAGAGCUAUUGUUCUUGCAUUUAAUGAAAAAUAAUCAUUAAAGAUUUUUGAGUUUUUAA
Molecule: long non-coding RNA, 5321 nt
Organism: Rhincodon typus (whale shark)
Lineage: Eukaryota; Metazoa; Chordata; Chondrichthyes; Orectolobiformes; Rhincodontidae
Exons: 2
Source: RefSeq, a predicted model, not a curated record